This 468-nucleotide ribosomal RNA is filed under the name uncultured bacterium. RNAcentral's name for it is "partial 16S ribosomal RNA". It matches the Rfam family "Bacterial small subunit ribosomal RNA", at positions 28 to 507 of the family's 1533-position model. The record is from RNAcentral.
GACGAACGCUGGCGGCGUGCCUAACACAUGCAAGUCGAACGGACAGGCCCUGCUUUUGUGGCGUGCUCGAGUGGCGAACGGGUGAGUAACACGUGAGUAACCUGCCCCUGACUUUGUGAUAACUUCAGGAAACUCCGGCUAAUACCCGAUAGGAGCUCCUGCUCCACGGUGGGCGUUGGAAAGUUUCGGCGGUUGGGGCUGGUCUCGCCGCUUAUCCGCUUCUCUGUGGGGUAGUGGCUUACCAAGGCUGUGACGGAUAGCCGGCCUGGGAGGGCGAGCGGCGACAUGAGGACGGAGAGAGGGACCAGACUGGAACGGGAGGCAGCAGUGGGGAGUAUUGCGGAGUGAGCGGAAGCGUGAGGCAGAGGCGCCGGGGGCGGGAUGACGGCCUUCGGGUGGAAAACCGCUGUGGCCGGUGACGAGGCGUGAGUGACGGUAAUGGGUAAAGAAGCACCGGCUAACUACGUG